AUUGAACGCUGGCGGUAUGCUUAACACAUGCAAGUCGAACGGUAGCAGACAAGAGCUUGCUCUUGUGCUGACGAGUGGCGGACGGGUGAGUAAUGCAUGGGAAUCUGCCUUGAAGUGGGGGACAACCCGGGGAAACUCGGGCUAAUACCGCAUAAUACCUUCGGGUUAAAGCUGGGGCCUUUUUGGCCUGGCGCUUCUAGAUGAGCCCAUGUUGGAUUAGCUUGUAGGUAGGGUAAAGGCCUACCUAGGCAACGAUCCAUAGCUGGUCUGAGAGGAUGAUCAGCCACACUGGGACUGAGACACGGCCCAG
This 310-nucleotide ribosomal RNA is filed under the name uncultured bacterium. Its description in RNAcentral is "bacterial SSU rRNA". It matches the Rfam family "Bacterial small subunit ribosomal RNA", at positions 30 to 334 of the family's 1533-position model. The record is from RNAcentral.